UAGGGAAUAUUGGUCAAUGGGUGGAAGCCUGAACCAGCCAUGCCGCGUGCAGGAAGACGGCCUUCUGGGUUGUAAACUGCUUUUAUCUGGGGAUAAAAAGGCCUUGCGAGGCAAACUGAAGGUACCAGAUGAAUAAGCCACGGCUAACUACGUGCCAGCAGCCGCGGUAAUACGUAGGUGGCAAGCGUUGUCCGGAUUCAUUGGGUUUAAAGGGUGCGUAGGCGGCCAUUUAAGUCAGUGCUGAAAUAUCACAGCUUAACUGUGAGGGUGGCAUUGAUACUGGGUGGCUUGAGUGCUAGCGAGGCAGGCGGAAUUGACGGUGUAGCGGUGAAAUGCUUAGAUAUCGUCAAGAACACCGAUAGUGUAGACAGCUUGCCAGGGAGCAACUGACGCUGAGGCACGAAAGUGUGGGGAUCAAACAGGAUUAGAUACCCUGGUAGUCCACACUAGUAAACGAUGAUCACUCGCUGUUGGACG
RNAcentral lists this ribosomal RNA (477 nucleotides) under uncultured Bacteroidota bacterium. Its description in RNAcentral is "bacterial SSU rRNA". It matches the Rfam family "Bacterial small subunit ribosomal RNA", at positions 355 to 829 of the family's 1533-position model. The record is from RNAcentral. Lineage: Bacteria; Pseudomonadati; Bacteroidota.